GACGAACGCUGGCGGCGUGCUUAACACAUGCAAGUCGAACGGUGAAGCGCCUUCCUUUUUGGUGGGUGUGGAUGAGUGGCGAACGGGUGAGUAACACGUGAGUAACCUGCCCCCUUCUUCUGGAUAACCGCAUGAAAGUGUGGCUAAUACGGGAUAUUCUGGGUCUGUCGCAUGAUGGGUCUGGGAAAGAUUUUGUUUCGGUGGGGGAUGGGCUCGCGGCCUAUCAGCUUGUUGGUGGGGUGAUGGCCUACCGAGGCGGUGACGGGUAGCCGGCCUGAGAGGGUGGGCGGCCAAAGUGGGACUGAGGCACGGCCCAGACUCCUACGGGAGGCAGCAGGGGGGAAUAUUGCACGGUGGGCAGAAGCCUGAUGCAGCGACGCCGCGUGAGGGAUGGAGGCCUUCGGGUUGUGAACCUCUUUCGCCAGUGAAGCAGGCCUGCCUCGUUUGUGGGUGGGUUGACGGUAGCUGGAGAAGAAGCACCGGCUAACUACGUG
This 494-nucleotide ribosomal RNA is filed under the name uncultured bacterium. Its description in RNAcentral is "partial 16S ribosomal RNA". It matches the Rfam family "Bacterial small subunit ribosomal RNA", at positions 28 to 507 of the family's 1533-position model. The record is from RNAcentral.